Molecule: non-coding RNA, 3432 nt
Organism: Monodelphis domestica (gray short-tailed opossum)
Lineage: Eukaryota; Metazoa; Chordata; Mammalia; Didelphimorphia; Didelphidae
Source: RefSeq, a predicted model, not a curated record
GACAGAGCUCUGACAGCAGCAACGAAAACAUGAAGAACUCAUCAGCCUCCGUGCCAGCAAGCAAAGGCAGUAGCAGUGUCUCUUGGCAAACUGGCUUUUCUUCUACUCUCUCUGUCUCUAUCCCUCCCUUUCUCUCUAGGGCAUGGAAUGAAGAAACAGAAUUGGAUUGCCUCUCACCUUUGCACCGAACUGGUGCGGCGAGUCGCAGUGAGCAGAAGCGGCUGCAAGAAAAAGGAAGGGCUGUAAGGAAUGGGGCAAGAGUAACACUACCCAAAAGCCAGGGAAUUCCCUCUUCCCAAAUUCGUCCUCACCCCACAACCGCGUUUAAGAGCCCGUGCCGAAGAGCGCACCCACGCACCGCACCACACCCUACAACGCCCCCACGCCCUUUAGAGUCUCCGGAUCUCACAGGGAUUCCCUCUCGGACCUUCCCACUUCCCACCCAGAUUCUACUGCGUGGGAGGGAUUGCAAAAGGGGAACGAGGGGGGGCCUGCACCCCAGCCGAGCCGCUUUGUGCAAGCGCUGUCACCCGAAGUCACCCACCGCCCCCACCCCAGCGCAGCCUCGCGCCUCCAACCUCCGAGUGCCUGCUAGAGGGCGGGCGCGGCUCCGAACCCCCCGAAUCCUCCCAGGAGCCGCGCGCACAGGACUGGACAAUUCGCGCAGGGAGCGAAGCGCAGCCUGCGCUCAGCCGCCGGCCGCCGCGGCGCCGCUGCUUCCGCCCCUGUCACGCCGUGACCCGGUGGGGGAGGAGCUGGGGAGGGGCUCGGAACCCGCCUCCGUCCCGGGCGCUCCGCCCCGGCUAUUUCCGCCGGCGCAGCUUAAACCGGAGAGAAGGGGAGGGAAUAGAGGCGGGGUCUGCUGCGCGGAGGGUGGGCUAGAGUACCAAGACUGGGAGGGACGACCCGGGAGCGGACGGAUCCCAGACUGAGAGCUGGGAGGUGCAGCCGGUGGGUUCCUGUAGCCAGCUCGGGCAGUUGUGCGGCAAGAGCGCGUAUAAACCUGAGAUACUUUGAGGAAAUUGAGGCCCAGAAAACUCCAAAUUCAGCGCUCUUGACACCACCUCACUCUGCAAGAGGCGAAGUGGAUGCUGCACGUCCUCUACCAAGGAGCCGAGCUGUGGUUGUUAGAAGAGCUGCCGCACUACUGAAGCCACGUGUGAAAUGUGUCUGGAAUAUGCCAUCCACCCCCUCUGACCCCGUCAUUUACCCAAAUGUAUUGGGCCUUAUUGAUUUUUACAGGCGAAAAUGACCCGUGGACUUGCUUCAUGCAUUCUACUCUAGCUGUUUCCGUUUAAGCCUAGGGAGUAAAAAAAUUGCGAGACCUUCGACCUUCAAGUUUCCUGACUCACACAGAAGCUUUCACCUUUCAAUAUUCAUUUAAGAAAACUGUUGUUUAAAUUAGCAGUUAGACCUUAAAAACGGGGGGAAAUUGGAGUAGGGCUGAAAUAUAUAGCACCGUAGUGCCCAGAUAGAAAUUGCAUACUCUAUAUCAAGUGAACAUAUCCUCUGGCAGUGAUACAAUAGCAAUACUGUACUUAAGUCUUUCUGCUAUCGUAGAUAUGAAAUAGUUACUUUAUAACUUUAUAACUGGUUAUAAUAGUUUGCCUAUCCAACGAACCACUUUUUUAUGGUACCGCUUUUCAAAGGGAGUUGCCAAAUCUCAUUUUAAUCUCACAACAAUCUUGGGGAGUACAUGCUAUUAUUAUCCUCAUUUUACAUUUGAGGAAACUGAAGCAGUUUAGUUACUUGCCUAGGACCACUUUGCGGGGUCUAUGUUAGAUUAGAAUUCACGUCUUCCUGCUUCCAGACCGGCCCUCUAGCGGCAGUGGGGACUCCUAGAAGUGCCUAAGUAGGAGGUGAACCACUUAAGCAAUAUCUCGAGGGUAUGAGGGGGGGAGGGGGGCCUGGUGGUAGAUAGUCUGCUACUUAAGAUAGUUUUAGUUCAGAACCUGGAAUUUAAACUUUGAGUCUUAAAGACCUGAAAAUCUGUUUUGAGGAAAUUCCCGGUGGAAGCGUCCAGUGGGCCUCUUUUUUCUGUAGCUUGGAGUUGGAUAAGAUGACCCAAGAGCUUCUUUUAACUGGACCAUAGACACUUUUAUUUCUUUUUCUAAAUAAAGGCAGCUGGUCCACUGAAAAGGGAGAUAGAUUUGGAGUCAGGUUACCUGUCCUUGUGGUCUUAGGCAAAUUUACUCACUUUCCUCUAUAAAAUAAGGGUAUUAGACAAUAUGACCUGUGAUCACAGCUACCUCUAAAUCUGUGGCCCAGAUUAAGUAUAGCAAGUAAUUCCAUAUAAUCUGAAUGGACCUAAAGUAGUAAAGUAAAAUCAGAAUUAAAAUUUUUUUUUUCUUAUGCUAGUCAUUACUUUAUACAAUCAAAUGAUUUCAGCACAUUUUGCUGGGGAAUCUCAAAGCCACUGCCAAUUUACUCCUGCUUUUUUGGUGAGAUGCUCUUUAUCUUUACUCUAAGGAAACGAAAACUUAAAUUUUGCUGUAGAAAUUAGAACUUUGGAAUGUUCUCUUUUUACUUAAGGUUUGUCAUUGUCAUAACUGAGAAAGCAAUGAUGCAUAAUUGGAAUUAAAAAUGCUAGUCCUAGGAAUAAUAGCAUGGUAGUAGAAUCUAAUUCAUCCAUCUUUGUUUUUAUUAAUGAACUGAAAACCCUUAGAAGUAGACCAAACCUCUAUCCUUUGAACACUAAAAUGGUGAUACUCUGCCAUAAAUAGGUAGUAGAUUUUUGGGAAAACUUACUACUACCUGAACAAAUUGUCUGGUUUUAUUUUCUUUUGCAAUCAAAGGCAUGUAUUUGCCUUUUGAAAUACAAAGUACAUCAAUUUAAGAAAAUCAGGUAUGUGAAAUACAAAACAUAAACUGAUGAAUGAAAUAGUAGUUAAUUCACAUUCCAAAUGCAUUUACUCUUUAAGAAGCUAGCUCUCCAGGGUAUCUAAAAUAGGCUCCCAUAUAUUUCAAAUAGGAUAUUUGCUUAUUAAAAAUCAAAUUCUACAAAACUCAGCAAUAGAAAAUAUCUAUUGUACAAAGUGAAGUAUGCCUGUAUUUAGGUAAAGAAAAUUGUUUUCUGUAUCAUUUUACCUUAGUUGUCUGGCUUUUCAAAAAGAGUGGCACUUUUAGGACCUCAGAAAUGUCUUAUCUCCCUGCAUUCUUGAUACAUCCACAAGAAUGGAAUAUAGUAUUAGAUUUUUUUGAUAUAUUGAUUUAGUCACUGAAUUUUUCUCUUCUACUUUUUCUUUAACCUUUAUUUAAAAACAUUCUUAUAAGGGAUAACUUGCAGGAAAGCAUAUAAAGGGAAAUUUAGGCAAUGUAAAAAUAAAACGAUAUCAGUAAAAUUUACUUAAAACAAAAAAUUCUUGCUACUAAUGUUAAUAAUGCAUAACAGCAUUUCAGUACAUUUAACUGACAGUAACAUAAAUACCUUUA